UGAGCAAUCUGCCCUUCUCUUCGGAAUAAGCGUUGGAAACGACGUCUAAUGCCGAAUACGACCUCCUUUCGCAUGAUCGGAGGUGGAAAGCUCCGGCGGAGAAGGAUGAGCUCGCGGCCUAUCAGCUAGUUGGUGUGGGUAAUGGCCCACCAAGGCGACGACGGGUAGCCGGCCUGAGAGGGUNAUCGGCCACACUGGAACUGAGAUACGGUCCAGACCUCCGUACGGGAGCAG
RNAcentral lists this ribosomal RNA (234 nucleotides) under uncultured bacterium. RNAcentral's name for it is "partial 16S ribosomal RNA". It matches the Rfam family "Bacterial small subunit ribosomal RNA", at positions 118 to 347 of the family's 1533-position model. The record is from RNAcentral.